AACGAACGCUGGCGGCAUGCCUAACACAUGCAAGUCGAACGAGACCUUCGGGUCUAGUGGCGCACGGGUGCGUAACGCGUGGGAACCUGCCCUUAGGUUCGGAAUAACUCCCCGAAAGGGGUGCUAAUACCGGAUAAUGUCUUCGGACCAAAGAUUUAUCGCCGUUGGAUGGGCCCGCGUUGGAUUAGCUAGUUGGUAGGGUAAAGGCCUACCAAGGCGACGAUCCAUAGCUGGUCUGAGAGGAUGAUCAGCCACACUGGGACUGAGACGCGGCCCAGACUCCUACGGGAGGCAGCAGUGGGGAAGCUUAGACAAGGGGGGCAACCAUGAUAUAGCCAUGCCGCGUGAGUGAUGAAGGCCUUAGGGUUGUAAAGCUCUUUCAGCUGGGAAGAUAAUGACGGUACCAGAAGAAGAAGCCCCGGCUAACUCCGUG
RNAcentral lists this ribosomal RNA (433 nucleotides) under uncultured bacterium. Its description in RNAcentral is "partial 16S ribosomal RNA". It matches the Rfam family "Bacterial small subunit ribosomal RNA", at positions 29 to 507 of the family's 1533-position model. The record is from RNAcentral.